This 67-nucleotide microRNA precursor is filed under the name Bombyx mori (domestic silkworm). RNAcentral's name for it is "mir-2774 microRNA precursor family". It matches the Rfam family "mir-2774 microRNA precursor family". The record is from Rfam by way of RNAcentral. Lineage: Eukaryota; Metazoa; Arthropoda; Insecta; Lepidoptera; Bombycidae.
ACAACAUUCGGGUUGUCGGUCUACUGAGCAAUUGCAUCCGCUCGGUAGAAAAUCUUCUCUUUGACGC